AUUUAACUGCAAAUAAUUUCAAAAAUUGCUUAGCUUUGGAUAAAAAAUUAAUAAAAGAAGUCGUUAACCUUCAUCAAUCCUUUGAAUUCUGGUAAAUUAACAAACUUUUUGGUACCAAAGUGUGAUGGCUUAUAGUAAGGUAUCACCAACUUGAAGGUAUGAUACGCACAGAAAGCAAUGGACCCAAAAGUUACUAUACACCAAAUUCUGCAAAAUAUUAUUACGACAAUCACUAGACAUUAUUAAAAAAUCUACUAAAUUAUCUUAAUGAAAAUUGGUAACAACUCAAGAACAAACAGUUAAGUUUGCUGUGCGCCU
This is a non-coding RNA of Schizosaccharomyces pombe (fission yeast), 318 nucleotides long. The record is from the annotation of a GenBank genome assembly. NCBI's taxonomy places the organism in Eukaryota, Fungi, Ascomycota, Schizosaccharomycetes, Schizosaccharomycetales, Schizosaccharomycetaceae.